AUGAAUUUGAGUGUGUUCACAUAUUCCACCAGCUCUAAUUUGCAUUUAUACAUAGGCUUACAUAUCUUCAAGUACUGCAGCUCUGAAUGUUUCACAUCUUUCAGAGGUAAUUUGAUUUUCCCCUGUUUUAUUUUACAUAAGCAGGAUUGCUUCACGGUGGAGGGGGAAGAUUUGAGGCAUGACUUUGAACGCCUACAGCUGGCCAUGGAAAUGGUAGGAUUUCUUCCCAAGAUGCGAAGACAGGGAGCUGCGUGCAGUGGCCUGGCAGCCAUUUCCACAGAGAAGGACGCCGAGGGUGGGGAGCGAAUGCGUGUGCUCCACAGGACGCCCAGGAGGUGGACGAGAGGCAGCACCAGACAGCUCUGGAAUAGAGGUGAGGUGCUCUGCGUGACGGACAGCCACAAAGUCUGUCCAAGCAGCAUUCGAACCCCACGUGCCUCCCCCACCCAGCUCAACGAAGCAGCAGCCCCUCCCCCUCUCUGCAGAAAUCUGUAUUCUGGGUCCCUGGGCCUGGGAGCCCCUGACACAGCUGGGCAAGGAGUCCUCCCUUGGAGCUGGCGUGUUCCCCUUUCUCCUCACACGUGGGUUUCAGUAUCCUGGAAACCAUGA
Molecule: long non-coding RNA, 609 nt
Filed under: Oryctolagus cuniculus (rabbit)
Lineage: Eukaryota; Metazoa; Chordata; Mammalia; Lagomorpha; Leporidae
Description: lncRNA (ENSOCUG00000031700.1)
Source: RNAcentral